RNAcentral lists this ribosomal RNA (404 nucleotides) under uncultured prokaryote. RNAcentral describes it as "bacterial SSU rRNA". It matches the Rfam family "Bacterial small subunit ribosomal RNA", at positions 355 to 776 of the family's 1533-position model. The record is from RNAcentral. RNAcentral also lists the same sequence under 1 other name.
UGGGGAAUAUUGGGCAAUGGGCGAAAGCCUGACCCAGCAACGCCGCGUGAAGGAAGAAGGCCUUCGGGUUGUAAACUUCUUUUCUGAGGGAAGAUAAUGACGGUACCUCAGGAAUAAGCCACGGCUAACUACGUGCCAGCAGCCGCGGUAAUACGUAGGUGGCGAGCGUUAUCCGGAUUUACUGGGUGUAAAGGGCGCGUAGGCGGGAAUGCAAGUCAGAUGUGAAAUACUGAGGCUCAACCUCAGGGGUGCAUUUGAAACUACAUUUCUUGAGUGAUGGAGAGGCAGGCGGAAUUCCCGGUGUAGCGGUGGAAUGCGUAGAUAUCGGGAGGAACACCAGUGGCGAAGGCGGCCUGCUGGACAUUAACUGACGCUGAGGCGCGAAAGCGUGGGGAGCAAACAGG